UACAGAGGGUGCGAGCGUUAAUCGGAAUUACUGGGCGUAAAGCGUGCGCAGACGGUUGCGUAAGUCAGAUGUGAAAGCCCCGGGCUCAACCUGGGAAUAGCAUUUGGGACUGGUCGGCUAGAGUUCGGGAGAGGAGAGUGGAAUUCCCAGUGUAGAGGUGAAAUUCGUAGAUAUUGGGAAGAACACCGGUGGCGAAGGCGGCUCUCUGGACCGACACUGACGCUGAGGCGCGAAAAGCGUGGGGGAGCAAACAGGG
This 256-nucleotide ribosomal RNA is filed under the name uncultured bacterium. Its description in RNAcentral is "partial 16S ribosomal RNA". It matches the Rfam family "Bacterial small subunit ribosomal RNA", at positions 524 to 777 of the family's 1533-position model. The record is from RNAcentral.